RNAcentral lists this ribosomal RNA (480 nucleotides) under uncultured bacterium. RNAcentral's name for it is "partial 16S ribosomal RNA". It matches the Rfam family "Bacterial small subunit ribosomal RNA", at positions 29 to 507 of the family's 1533-position model. The record is from RNAcentral.
UUGCACGCUGGCGGCAUGCCUUACACAUGCAAGUCGAACGGUAACGCGGGGCAACCUGGCGACGAGUGGCGAACGGGUGAGUAAUGCAUCGGAACGUGCCCAGAAGUGGGGGAUAGCCCGGCGAAAGCCGGAUUAAUACCGCAUGAGACCUGAGGGUGAAAGCGGGGAUCGCAAGACCUCGCGCUUUUGGAGCGGCCGAUGUCAGAUUAGCUAGUUGGUGGGGUAAAGGCCUACCAAGGCGACGAUCUGUAGCUGGUCUGAGAGGACGACCAGCCACACUGGGACUGAGACACGGCCCAGACUCCUACGGGAGGCAGCAGUGGGGAAUUUUGGACAAUGGGCGCAAGCCUGAUCCAGCCAUGCCGCGUGCGGGAAGAAGGCCUUCGGGUUGUAAACCGCUUUUGUCAGGGAAGAAACGCUCUGGGCUAAUACCCUGGGGUAAUGACGGUACCUGAAGAAUAAGCACCGGCUAACUACGUG